GAUGAACGCUGGCGGCGUGCCUAAUACAUGCAAGUCGAGCGAACGGACCAGAAGUUUGCUUCUCUGAUGUUAGCGGCGGAGGGGUCAGUCACACGUGGAUAACCUACCUAUCAGACUGGGAUAACUUCGGGAAACCGGAGCUAAUACCGGAUAAUAUUUUGCACCGCGUGGUUCAAAAGUGAAAGUCGGUCUUGCUGUCACUUAUAGAUGGAUCAGGGCUGCAUUAGCUAGUUGGUAAGGUAAUGGCUUACCAAGGCAACGAGGGAUAGCCGACCUGAUGGGGUGAUCGCCUACCUGGGAAGGGAGACAGAGCCCAGACGCCUACGGUAGGCAGCAGUCGGGAAUCUUCCGCAAGGGGGGAGAGCCUGACAGAGCAACGCGGCGUGAGGGAUGAAGGUGUCCUGAUCGGAAAACGCUGUUAUGAGUGGAGAACAUAUGUGUAAGUAACUGGGCAGAUCUUGACGGUACCGGGUCAGAAAGCCACGGCUAACUACGUG
Molecule: ribosomal RNA, 497 nt
Filed under: uncultured bacterium
Lineage: Bacteria
Description: partial 16S ribosomal RNA
Rfam family: Bacterial small subunit ribosomal RNA
Source: RNAcentral